Molecule: ribosomal RNA, 440 nt
Filed under: uncultured bacterium
Lineage: Bacteria
Description: partial 16S ribosomal RNA
Rfam family: Bacterial small subunit ribosomal RNA
Source: RNAcentral
CCUACGGGUGGCUGCAGUGGGGAUAUUGCACAAUGGGGGGAACCCUGAUGCAGCGACGCCGCGUGGGUGAAGGAGCGUUUCGGCGCGUAAAGCCCUAUCGGCAGGGAAGAAGGAGGACGGUACCUGACUAAGAAGCCCCGGCUAACUACGUGCCAGCAGCCGCGGUAAUACGUAGGGGGCAAGCGUUAUCCGGAUUUACUGGGUGUAAAGGGGGCGCAGACGGCAGCGCAAGCCAGGAGUGAAAGCCCGGGGCCCAACGCCGGGACUGCUUUUGGAACUGCGCGGCUGGAGUGCAGGCGGGGCAGGCGGAAUUGCUGGUGUAGCGGUGAAAUGCGUAGAUAUUAGGAGGAAAACCAGUGGCGAAGGCGGCUUACUGGACUGUAACUGACGUUGAGGCUCGAAAGCGUGGGGAGCAAACAGGAUGAGAUACCCCAGUAGUC